RNAcentral lists this ribosomal RNA (414 nucleotides) under Triticum aestivum (bread wheat). Its description in RNAcentral is "partial small subunit ribosomal RNA". Lineage: Eukaryota; Viridiplantae; Streptophyta; Magnoliopsida; Poales; Poaceae. The record is from RNAcentral.
AUGACAGGUUCAACACUCAGAGCACUACUCCUGUGCAAAAAUUUCUUCAUACAGGAUUAUACUUGUGUCUUAUGUAGCAUGCAGAUUCUGGAAACAAGGAACCACCUUUUCUUCACUUGCCCAUUUGCAAAAUUGUGCUAGAAUUACAUCUGCCCCACCUAGACUCCAAAGGGCAUGUACAAUGAAGAGAUUAAUCAACUAAAGCAACUCCUGAAUCUGCCCUUCCCAUUACAGGUCAUGAUCUUGGUGACAUGGGCGAUCUGGACCACUCGGAAUGACUACAUAUUCAAAAACGUCACACCAAGCCUAUAUGCAUGUAGAAGAAAAUUCAAAGAAGAGAUCAAGUGGCUCACUUUCAGAGCAAGGAGGAAAGAAUACUAUGGAUUGGAAGACUGGGUGAAAGCUUUUAUUUGA